UCAUUCGCAAAACAAUUAUUAUUGCGAAUGUUGUUUAUUAUGGUUUUUUAAAUAAUAAAAUGGAAAAAGUUAAUGAAGUUUUGUUGGACUCUGUAACAACUAGUUGGAGUGGUUAAGCUGUUCAUUUACAUGAUAAUGUAUACUCAGAUGCAUCUUGUAAUGUGGUAUAAAAAAUUAUCUGUACGUAACAAACGAUGGAGACGAAGUGAUUAUUAUGUGUGGCAAACGAUUAUUUUAUAAAUUUUUCAAUUUCUGAUUUCGUGAUGGAACUUAUUGGAGUACACUUUUCUUGGACAUAGGAGGAGUAUUGCCGCUACAAGCAUAAACAAUAAUAAAACAUUCCAAAGAAUAAUUUGUUAUUUCAACGAUUAGCUUUGUUGUUUAAAUGUAUAAAUACUUUUUGAAUAUUCUUAUUAUAUAUC
Molecule: non-coding RNA, 422 nt
Organism: Hydra vulgaris (swiftwater hydra)
Lineage: Eukaryota; Metazoa; Cnidaria; Hydrozoa; Anthoathecata; Hydridae
Source: RefSeq, a predicted model, not a curated record